This 514-nucleotide ribosomal RNA is filed under the name Klebsiella pneumoniae. RNAcentral describes it as "partial 23S ribosomal RNA". It matches the Rfam family "Bacterial large subunit ribosomal RNA", at positions 2313 to 2824 of the family's 2925-position model. The record is from RNAcentral. RNAcentral also lists the same sequence under 1 other name. Lineage: Bacteria; Pseudomonadati; Pseudomonadota; Gammaproteobacteria; Enterobacterales; Enterobacteriaceae.
AAGGUUAGCUAAUCCUGGUCGGACAUCAGGAGGUUAGUGCAAUGGCAUAAGCUAGCUUGACUGCGAGCGUGACGGCGCGAGCAGGUGCGAAAGCAGGUCAUAGUGAUCCGGUGGUUCUGAAUGGAAGGGCCAUCGCUCAACGGAUAAAAGGUACUCCGGGGAUAACAGGCUGAUACCGCCCAAGAGUUCAUAUCGACGGCGGUGUUUGGCACCUCGAUGUCGGCUCAUCACAUCCUGGGGCUGAAGUAGGUCCCAAGGGUAUGGCUGUUCGCCAUUUAAAGUGGUACGCGAGCUGGGUUUAGAACGUCGUGAGACAGUUCGGUCCCUAUCUGCCGUGGGCGCUGGAGAAUUGAGGGGGGCUGCUCCUAGUACGAGAGGACCGGAGUGGACGCAUCACUGGUGUUCGGGUUGUCAUGCCAAUGGCACUGCCCGGUAGCUAAAUGCGGAAGAGAUAAGUGCUGAAAGCAUCUAAGCACGAAACUUGCCCCGAGAUGAGUUCUCCCUGAGACUUUAA